Long non-coding RNA from Brassica oleracea var. oleracea, 1183 nucleotides. RefSeq lists it as uncharacterized. NCBI's taxonomy places the organism in Eukaryota, Viridiplantae, Streptophyta, Magnoliopsida, Brassicales, Brassicaceae. The transcript is spliced from 4 exons. The record is from RefSeq and is a predicted model, not a curated record.
UCGCACUUGUCGGGAUGCCUAGUCUUGUAGUACCAGCAUCAAGGAAAGUUUCAAGGCAUCCAUAGGGACUCCAGUUGUCUGUCCAAAACCCCCCCUGACUUUGGCUUCGUCGUCCAAUAGUUUUGGAUUGAUCCUUUUAGAAUGACCUCUUUGAACCAUGAGACCCAAACUGAAUCAGGUCUGAAGAAGAGGAGCCAAACAAGGCGCAGAGAGCAGGCUUUGUUCCACGUGUAGAGAUCCUUCACGCCCAAGCCUCCUUGGUCUUUUUUGUUAGCGUCACAGUAUCCCAAGAAACUCUUGCCGUGUUUUUGCUCUCGACAUCACCUCUCCACAAGAAGACCAGGAGGAGAAUUUGGACUUCAUUUGCUGCAGCAGAACAUUACAGUUGGAGAGGGACAGCUUUCUGGAGUUGAGAGGAACCCCCAAGUAUCGAAAAGGUAAACUUCCACAUGACAUUCCAGUAGAUACUUGAAUCCGGUUGAUUUCAUCAUCUGUGAGUCCUGAGGCAAAGAAACUUGUCUUCUGCAUGCUGAUAGCCGGGCCCGAGCGGUUUUCAAAGUCCUUGAGCACUUUGCAAGACGCAUUGCACAGACUCAAUGGAACCAUCUAUGAAGAUAAGGAAAUCAUCUGCAAAGGAUUAAUGGAUACAAGCCCGGAGCCAAGAUAGGAACUGGUCUGGUACAUUAAUUCCUUUCAGACAAGAGAAGAGAAAAUCCCAAGACAGGGUAUCAAAAGCCUUGGCGAUAUCCACUUUGAUGAUGUAGGCAGGAACCCAGACAAGAAGAAAUGCCUGACAGCAAUCACCACUUCUUCCCCAACAACCUCCCAAGCGGCUUUGAAGAAACCAGAUAUUAGUCCGUCGGGACCCGGUGCUUUGUUGGGAUUAAGUUUGAAGACCAGAAACUUUAUCUCUUCAGGAGAUGGAAUGGUUAGAGCAGUCUGAGCUGAGACCCUGAAAGGCUGCAACGAAUCAAACCACUCUAUGAGGAGUAGAUGUAGGCUGCUGAAUGGACAGUAGGACCGAGGAAAACGAAAUGGAAUCGAAAUGAAAUAAUAGUCUAAGAAUAGGUUUUCAAUAAUUACGGGGUUCGACAUGGCUGUUCUGAUUUCUGAUUAAGACCUUGGCAUGGAAUCUAGGUACGUUGGGCCAUCUAAGAGCAUUUUCUGAGGAGUUCUCACUCAA